RNAcentral lists this ribosomal RNA (492 nucleotides) under uncultured bacterium. Its description in RNAcentral is "partial 16S ribosomal RNA". It matches the Rfam family "Bacterial small subunit ribosomal RNA", at positions 29 to 507 of the family's 1533-position model. The record is from RNAcentral.
AUUGAACGCUGGCGGCAGGCCUAACACAUGCAAGUCGAACGGCAGCACAGUAUGAGCUUGCGCUUACGGGUGCAGAGUGGCGGACGAGGGAGGAAUACGUCGGAAUCUACGGGUUAGUGGGGGAUAACGUAGGGAAACAUACGAUAAUAGCGCAGACGACGAACGGGGGAAAGCAGGGGAUCUUCCGACCUUGGCCGAGUGAAUGAGCCGAUGUCGGAUUAGCUAGUUGGUGGGGUAAAGGCUCACCAAGGCGACGAUCCGUAGCUGGUCUGAGAGGAUGAUCAGCCACACUGGAACUGAGACACGGCCCAGACUCCUACGGGAGGCAGCAGUGGGGAAUUUUGGACAAUGGGCGCAAGCCUGAUCCAGCCAUGCCGCGUGCGUGAAGAAGGCCUUCGGGUUGUAAAGCCCUUUUGUUGGGAAAGAAAAGCAGCCGGUUAAUACCCCGCUGUUAUGACGGUACCGAAAGAAUAAGCACCGGCUAACUACGUG